UACGGGGGGAGCAAGCGUUGUUCGGAUUUACUGGGCGUAAAGGGCGCGUAGGCGGUCGUGACAAGUCACUUGUGAAAUCUCCCGGGCUUAACUCGGAACGGUCAAGUGAUACUGUCGGACUAGAGUACAGAAGGGGCAACUGGAAUUCUCGGUGUAGCGGUGAAAUGCGUAGAUAUCAGGAGGAACACCGGUGGCGAAGGCGGAUCUCUGGGCCUUACCUGACGCUCAGGGUGCGAAAAGCUAGGGGGAGCGAACAGG
This 258-nucleotide ribosomal RNA is filed under the name uncultured bacterium. RNAcentral's name for it is "partial 16S ribosomal RNA". It matches the Rfam family "Bacterial small subunit ribosomal RNA", at positions 524 to 776 of the family's 1533-position model. The record is from RNAcentral.